UAAUAAGAAACCAUUAGGUAUUCAGUUUCGACCUGAAAAUUAGAUAUUAUUUAUCCUUAUUUA
Molecule: transfer RNA, 63 nt
Filed under: Cacoplistes rogenhoferi
Lineage: Eukaryota; Metazoa; Arthropoda; Insecta; Orthoptera; Phalangopsidae
Description: tRNA-Arg
Source: RNAcentral